This 647-nucleotide ribosomal RNA is filed under the name uncultured bacterium. Its description in RNAcentral is "bacterial SSU rRNA". It matches the Rfam family "Bacterial small subunit ribosomal RNA", at positions 110 to 753 of the family's 1533-position model. The record is from RNAcentral.
GUAAUACAUCGGAACGUACCCAGUAGCGGGGGAUAGCCCGGCGAAAGCCGGAUUAAUACCGCAUACGCCCUAAGGGGGAAAGGGGGGGAUCGAAAGACCUCUCACUAUUGGAGCGGCCGAUGGCUGAUUAGCUAGUUGGUGGGGUAAAGGCCUACCAAGGCAACGAUCAGUAGCUGGUCUGAGAGGACGACCAGCCACACUGGGACUGUGACACGGCCCAGACUCCUACGGGAGGCAGCAGUGGGGAAUUUUGGACAAUGGGCGAAAGCCUGAUCCAGCAAUGCCGCGUGUGCGAAGAAGGCCUUCGGGUUGUAAAGCACUUUUGUCAGGGAAGAAAUCGUUCGGGCUAAUACCUCGGGCAGUUGACGGUACCUGAAGAAUAAGCACCGGCUAACUACGUGCCAGCAGCCGCGGUAAUACGUAGGGUGCAAGCGUUAAUCGGAAUUACUGGGCGUAAAGCGUGCGCAGGUGGUUCGUUAAGACAGUUGUGAAAUCCCCGGGCUUAACCUGGGAACUGCAAUUGUGACUGGCGGACUAGAGUUUGGCAGAGGGGGGUGGAAUUCCUGGUGUAGCAGUGAAAUGCGUAGAUAUCAGGAGGAACACCGAUGGCGAAGGCAGCCCCCUGGGCCAUGACUGACACUCAUGCA